Rosa rugosa (rugosa rose) is the source of this 6181-nucleotide RNA transcript. RefSeq lists it as uncharacterized. The record is from RefSeq and is a predicted model, not a curated record. NCBI's taxonomy places the organism in Eukaryota, Viridiplantae, Streptophyta, Magnoliopsida, Rosales, Rosaceae. The transcript is spliced from 2 exons.
AUGUUUCUUUCUUUGUUUCUCGGCUGCCGGCAAGCAAAGUAUGGUUUCCUCAUCAUCAAGCUACAGAUUGUUUCUUUCAUUGAUAGAACUUGUGUUGCUCGUAGCUCAAGCCCUUGAUCAACCGGAUUUCCUGUACAACUUCUGUAUAAACGAGACAGGUAACUAUACCGCUGGUAGCCCUUAUAAGACAAACCUCGACACUCUUCUCCUUUCUCUUUCCACGGCUACGGUUUUUACAACUCCAACUCCUCCUUUGGAGAAAACUCGGACAAAGUUUAUGCACUCGGCCUCGAUCUGUAGAGGAGAUGUUGUUAAAACAGUAAUGCACAUUGAUAAUCUAGUUAUCUAGAUUAAUCUAGAAAUUGUACAAAUCUAGCUAGAUUAAUCUAGACUAAUCAUGGUAGCUAGUGUAGAAAGGUUCUAGAGUCAUGGUGUAAUUAAAGUAAUAAACUUCUAGUGUUGUCCAUUAAUAUGUGGUUAGCAAUUAACCACAUGCUAUGUCGGCUAGUUAUGUCGGUAAAGUGAUCAAAGUCUAUAAAUAUGUGUCAAGCCUUUUGCACUUGUAAUUAAGGGAAAACAACAAUCAUCAAAGCUGAUCCUCUAUAAUCAAAAGCUCCCCGUUCUCAAUAUAUACAAACAAACCUCUCCUCUGUUUUCCUUUCAUACAAACUACCUCCUCUGUUUUUAAAACUCAACCAUCUUCUAGUCCUAACCCACUACUACUAAAAGCUUCCUCACCAAAUACCAACAGUGCAUGGUAUCAAAGCCACAAAUUCUAACAGUGGUAUUAGAGCUUGCUUCGAUCAAAUUUGGGGCGUUGAUUUGUGUCUUCCACCAUGUCUACCUCCACCUCCAACCAAACAUCAAUUCCUCUUCCCAUCUUCAAGGGAGAAAACUAUGAUUUUUGGAGUAUCAAGAUGAGAACCUUCUUCAUGUCUCAAGAUCUAUGGGACAUAGUAGAGAAAGGAUUCUCGACUCCAGAAAAUCCAACGGUGGAGCAGUUGAAGCAAGAGAAGAAAGAAAAACUAAGAGAUGCUAGUGCUCUUUUUGCCAUCCAACAAGCGGUGGACGAUACAAAUUUUUCAAGAAUCAUGGGAGCUACCACAUCAAAAGAAGCUUGGGAUCUACUAAAGGAGGAGUUUCAAGGAAUUGCAAAGGUACGUUCCGUCAAAUUACAAACUAUGAGGAGAGAGAUAGAAAAUUUAAAAAUGAAAGAUUCUAAGAUCAUAAAAGAUUACUAUUCCAAAGUAAAGGAAAUAGUAAAUCAAUUAAGAGCCUAUGGUGAAAAUAUUAGUGAGACUAGAGUAGUUGAAAAAAUACUCAUUAGCCUCACUGAAAAAUAUGACCCAAUAGUAACUGCCAUCGAACAUUCGAAAGACAUAUCGAAUCUUUCGGUGACAGAAUUGAUAGGCUCUUUAGAAGCUUAUGAGAAAAGAUUGAGUAGUCGGAAUGAAAGUCCUAUAGAAAGUGCAUUCCGAUCUAAACUCAAUAUACGAUCUCAGAAAAAUGAAAAAGAAAACAAGUUUGAAGAAUUUUCUAGAGGAGGAGAUAGACCCAAAUAUUGGGAAAAUAAAAAAUAUAUAAAGGAGAAAAGAAAUUAUUCUCCAUGUGGAAUCUGCCACAAAAAUAAUCAUCAAGAAAAAGAUUGUUUGUAACGCCCCAAGCUGCACCUCACCAGCUUAAGCACGUCACAGUGCCGCGAGUUUCUAAAACAUAAACCGAAUGCUCAAUUUACAUCCUAGAGAACCGCUAGACAUUUUGCUUGAAAACUUUUUGUAAAACACAGCGAAAGCUACAAGUACUUUUGAGGUGAAAAUCCUUGAGUUGCUAAAAAUCAUUUCAUUCGUCCAGAACUUGAAUGAAUGUUCACACGAAGGAUACGAACUUUAAGGAAUGAGAACUAAAAUUGACACGAGCUAACUAUCAACAAGUUUCGGAACACGAAGUUCGAGAAAAAGAAUGUAGAACAAAGUCCAAACGAUGGUUUACCGGACUUAUUCCGCACACCCAGCUCCGUCUGCUUUUGUCCUGUCACCAGUGCAUAGUACCUGCAUCCACACUGUUGUAGGGGUGAGCUUUCGUCCUCGCUGCUCAACAGGAACUCUACCACGACUAGGUUUGACACCAGUAAAUAUGUAUUUGGGGAUCCCAGUAUGAAAACAUGCUUAAACCAAAGACUCCAAGGAACGACAAACUUUAUAAGAUUUUAUAACUUAAAAACUUAUGCAUGUUGCUUUAAUAAAUACGGCGCCAAAUCCAAGUAUUACCUGAUGUCCGGUCCCAUAGACCCAUUACACGACCUUACCUCAAAUUAAUUUAUCACCAGGUAAGCGUAGCGAGAACGUCCACUACCUAGCUACACACACGUACCGAGUCCGUGAUUGCGGAUACUCGGAUGACUGGCAUAGCUAACCCUCCGGAGGUUUAGGGAAUCAAACCCAAGGAAGUCAGUGCCCCUUUCGCUCUCAAGCCAUCACAUUUCUCACGAUUUGCACUAUUGUAGGGGACAAUGGCGGACGGAGCUGGGUGUGCAGAACAAGUUUGGUAAACCGUUUUCUGUACUUUAUUCUAAUAUAUAUUUCUCGAAUUUUGUAUCUCGAAACUCGGGUGAAACUAUUCUUGUGUCGAACCUAGUUAAUGUCUUAUUCCUUGAAGUUUGUACCUCCUGAGCGAGCGUUCAUUUCAAGUCUAGACGAACAAAUUGAAUUUAGCGAUUCAAGGAUUUUCACCUCAAAAAUAUUGGUAGCUUCUGCUGUGUUUUGCGAAAAGUUUUUCAAACAAAAUGCCUAGCGGUCCUCUAGAAUGUAAACUGAGCGUUCGGUUUAUGUUUUAGAGACUCGCGGCACUGUAACGAGCUUAGGCUGAUGAGGUGCAGCCUGGGGCGUUACAUUGUUGGUUUCGAGGAAAACCAAAAUGCCGAAACUGCAACAAGUUUGGUCAUAUUGAGGAAAAUUGUUUCCUCAAGAAAAAUCACCGAGCAGACUUUUCAGAAGAAAAUGAGCAAGAUGAGCAGCUCUUCUAUGCAUGUCACUCGGCGAUUGAAGAGAAAAAUAAGAAGUGGUACGUGGAUAGCGACUGCAUCAAUCACAUGUCUGGAGACAAAAUCAUUUUCUCCAAACUUGAUACUUCACGAAAGUCUCAAGUGAAACUAGGAAAUGGAGAAAUGGUGAAAACUAAAGGAAAAUGUACGAUUUCCAUCCCGACUAAUUUAGGAACUAAAAAGAUUAAUGAUAUUCUAUUAGUUCCUAGCUUGGAGCAUAAUCUCCUUAGUGUCGGACAAAUGAUGGAAAAUGGUUAUGCUAUAUUAUUUCAUGGAGACUUCUGCAAAAUAUUUGACAAGAAAAGAAGGUUGAUAUUCAAAAUAAGGAUGAAAAAUAGAAAUUUUCCCAUCCAAUGGCAACAAAUGGCCAUGAAAGCAGAAGUCAAGAAGAAAAAUAUUGGCCUAGAGAAAAAGCAGCCGAGGACUCCACCAAGUCAAGCAAAUAAAGAAAGAAGUUCAAAUCCUUCGAAGUCUAAAAGUUGUGAAGUUGCAAUGAAGAAGAAAGCAAAAGAAAGGCCACGAAAGAAGAAAGCCGAAGAAAGGCUAUGGAAGAAGAAAGCCGAAGGAAGGCCAUGGAAAAAGAAAGCAAGAGAAAGCACAACUUCGCCAAGGCACUUCAAAGAUCGAGACUUGAAUUAAUAUGAGAUUGCUCGGAGUAUCAUCAAUGAGCAUUAAGGAGGAGUGUUAAAACAGUAAUGCACAUUGAUAAUCUAGUUAUCUAGAUUAAUCUAGAAAUUGUAUAAAUCUAGCUAGAUUAAUCUAGACUAAUCAUGGUAGCUAGUGAAGAAAGGUUCUAGAGUCAUGGUAUAAUUAAAGUAAUAAACUUCUAGUGAGUUCUAGUUUGUCCAUUAAUAUGUGGUUAGCAAUUAACCACAUGCUAUGUCGGCUAGUUAUGUCGGUAGAGUGAUCAAAGUCUAUAAAUAUGUGUCAAGCCUUUUGCACUUGUAAUUAAGGGAAAACAACAAUCAUCAAAGCUCCUCUAUAAUCAAAAGCUCCCCGUUCUCAAUAUAUACAAUAAUACAAAUUUAACAAACCUCUCCUCUGUUUUCCUUUCAUACAACCUACCUCCUCUGUUUUUUAAACUCAACCAUCUUCUAGUCCUAACCCACUACUACUAAAAGCUUCCGCACCAAAUACCAACAGUGGUAUCAAAGCCACAAAUUCUAAUAGAUGUUGAGGCCGACGACUGCGGCAGUUGCCUCAGCGACGCCAGAUAUCGUCUCACGGCGGCCUGUCCUGUUCAGAAGGAGGCCAUUGUGUGGUACGACUAUUGCAUGCUACGCUACUCGAAUCAAUCCAUAUAUGGGAAGCUGACAUUAAUUAUCUCCUUCUUUCCGUAUGUGGAACCUACAUAACGUGUCGUCAACACUAGUGGAGGAGUUCAACCAAAAGCUUCUGCCCUUGUUGGAAAGACUGUCUAGUCAAGCUGCUGAAGGAGGUACUGAUCGUAAGUUCGCUGUAGGCUGGCAAAACACAAGCGCCGCCAAUGCAACAAGGACUCGCACAGUGUACUCCAGAUUUGUCAGCCCAAGAAUGCACUGAAUGCUUCCGAACAGCUUUAGCAAAGAUCACAGUAUGUUGUUUGGGGAAAUUUGGUGGGAGAGUUAUUAAACCCAGCUGUAACUUAAGGUAUGAAAUUUACUCAUUUUUUGACAUUGCAGCUGUGGCACCCAGCCACCCACACCUUCGUCACCAUUAGCAACACCGGCCUCUCCUCCUCCACUGCUGUCAGAAUGCUUUGAGUUUGAGUAGAAAGGAUUCUUGAUUUUUGCAGGAAAGAAGAAGAGUAAUACAUCUCGAACAUAAGUCAUCAUCACUGUGACAAUUGUUGUUCCGCUAGGGGUACUGAUUGUAUCCAUAUCGAUUUAUUUGAGUUCAGUUAAUUAGGAAGACUAAGGAAAAGUUUGAAGGUAAUUAGUUUGUGAUUAAUUACUUCUCCUUAAACUAAAUGAAUGCGGUGAUCAAUUCUCUACUGUUAAUCCCCCAGUAUGCUCACAACCAGCAUUUUAUAUGUAUAAUCAUGGCAUUGGAUCCUCAUCCGACAUGUCCUUGGGAUUUGAGAGUUACUCAGGAUUGACAUGGUCUGAUCAAUCCAAAAGCAACUCUGCCAACAAGGGUUUCAACUACCCGUUAGAAUUUCACAGACACAUUUUAUUUUAUUUUAUUUUGUUAUUAACUAUUGAUAUGUAAUUUUCCUAUCAAUUAGCUUAAUUUAGAGAGACGUUAAAAAUAGGGUUCUUGCCCCAAAGCACUAAAAUGAGCCAAACUUUUCUCACUUACCCCAGCAACAUAUUUUUGUUCCCACAUACACAAUUUCACACCAAAUGAUCAUUUUGCCCUCAACCCAAUUAAAGAAUUACAACGACGUCACUCUUUCUCCUCUCUCUCAUCCCGAUCUCUCUCUCUCUCUCUCUCUCUCUCUCUCUCUCUCUCUCUCUCUCUCUCUCUCUCUCUCUCUCUCUCUCUCUCUCUCUCUCUCUCUCUCUCUCUGUGCCAUGGCCGCUCCGGAAUCAGAGAACGCAGCCCACCACUGCCGGACCUUCACUGCACCUAGACCCCGCCGGACCUUCACUACGCCCAGACCCCGAUUGGAUCAGAACACGAUCCCAGAUCUCCGGCCAGUCUAAGAGCCUCAUGCAUCCAGCUUCGCUGCUUUCAGACCAUCGGACCCUCCAGACAAAAAUUGACUUAACCGCCGGAAGUUGCAGCCACGAGCGAGUCUGACAUUAACAGGAGCCGUUGACUCAGACUCCGGUUGAAAUCGAGCUACAUCACCGGUCAAACUCAGUCUCGAAACGGCGCCUCCUCGAAUCGACUGACAUCAUCAACGUCGUGUAUCCUCCAGUGCUCGACGCAGGUUGUGGCAGAGAAGAAAGAUGAUUGGGUGCCCAAAGCAUCUUCCUCGAGCAUUCCUUCGUCUUAAACUCCAUCAGAGUCGCCGGCGAUGUUCUCAUAGAGCAGUAGCCCACCAAGUCCGACGCCGGCAGGUUUGUCGCCUGAGGUGCUUUGGUCUUGGGUGCCCAGAGCAUUUUCUGGGUGCCCAAAUCAUUUUUUUUUUUGUAAACUGUGGGAAGAAAUCCGAGAAGGAAAGGACAAAAAAAAAAGAAAAAAAAGUUGUAUUGGGGGCAAAUCAAAAUAGUG